RNAcentral lists this ribosomal RNA (252 nucleotides) under Triticum aestivum (bread wheat). RNAcentral describes it as "partial small subunit ribosomal RNA". Lineage: Eukaryota; Viridiplantae; Streptophyta; Magnoliopsida; Poales; Poaceae. The record is from RNAcentral.
AUGAUUUGGCGAAAUGAAGUUUCUGUUCGAUCUUGGUGGCAAAAGGCGGUGAGCAACGCGGAUCAUAACAGAAAGGCUCUUGCCUCUGUUAUGAUGCUUGUCUCAUGGGAGAUAUGGAAAGAACGAAAUGGCAGCAUGUUUCGCAACGCCGCGACCCCGACCACAAUUAUCGUCACGAGAAUUAAAGAAGAGGCCCACAUGUGGACUUUGGCUGGGGCCAAGCAUUUGAGUAGUCUUAUGUUGCGAGAGUAG